UUAGCCCUGCGGCCCCACGCACCAGGGUAAGAGAGAGUCUCACUUCCUGCCCUGGCCCGAGGGACCGACUGGCUGGGC
Pteropus vampyrus (large flying fox) is the source of this 78-nucleotide microRNA precursor. Ensembl annotates it as microRNA 874. NCBI's taxonomy places the organism in Eukaryota, Metazoa, Chordata, Mammalia, Chiroptera, Pteropodidae. The record is from Ensembl.